UACGUAGGGUGCGAGCGUUGUCCGGAAUUAUUGGGCGUAAAGAGCUCGUAGGCGGUGUGUCACGUCGGCCGUGAAAACCUGCAGCUUAACUGUGGGCGUGCGGUCGAUACGGGCAUCACUGGAGUUCGGCAGGGGAGACUGGAAUUCCUGGUGUAGCGGUGAAAUACGCAGAUAUCAGGAGGAACACCGGUGGCGAAGGCGGGACUCUGGGCCGAUACUGACGCUGAGGAGCGAAAGCGUGGGGAGCGAACAGG
Molecule: ribosomal RNA, 254 nt
Filed under: uncultured bacterium
Lineage: Bacteria
Description: partial 16S ribosomal RNA
Rfam family: Bacterial small subunit ribosomal RNA
Source: RNAcentral